GGUUCGGGAGCACGCCCGUGGGAAGGCGCGCAAGUAUUGAACCUCACCUCCCUUGUCCAAGUGGCAUGCCACCCGGCCCCGGGGUGACAUG
This is a regulatory RNA element of 91 nucleotides. It matches the Rfam family "Rhodo-rpoB RNA". The record is from Rfam.